UGGGGAAUUUUGGACAAUGGGCGCAAGCCUGAUCCAGCAAUGCCGCGUGCAGGAUGAAGGCCUUCGGGUUGUAAACUGCUUUUGUACGGAACGAAAAAGCUCUCUCUAAUACAGGGGGUGAAUGACGGUACCCUGGGAAUAAGCACCGGCUAACUCCGUGCCAGCAGCCGCGGUAAUACGGAGGGUGCAAGCGUUAUCCGGAUUCACUGGGUUUAAAGGGUGCGUAGGUGGGCAGAUAAGUCAGUGGUGAAAUCUUCCGGCUUAACCGGGAAACUGCCGUUGAUACUAUUUGUCUUGAAUAUUGCGGAGGUAAGCGGAAUAUGUCAUGUAGCGGUGAAAUGCUUAGAUAUGACAUAGAACACCAGUUGCGAAGGCAGCUUACUACAUAUAAAUUGACGCUGAGGCACGAAAGCGUGGGGAUCAAACA
RNAcentral lists this ribosomal RNA (427 nucleotides) under uncultured bacterium. RNAcentral's name for it is "bacterial SSU rRNA". It matches the Rfam family "Bacterial small subunit ribosomal RNA", at positions 355 to 774 of the family's 1533-position model. The record is from RNAcentral.